GAAAUGCGAUAAGUAAUGUGAAUUGCAGAAUUCAGUGAAUCAUCGAAUCUUUGAACGCACAUUGCGCCCGCCAGUAUUCUGGCGGGCAUGCCUGUUCGAGCGUCAUUUCAACCAUCAAGCCCCCCGGCUUGUGUUGGGGACCUGCGGCUGCCGCAGGCCCAGAAAAGCAGUGGCGGGCUCGCUGUCACACCGAGCGUAGUAGCAUACAUCUCGCUCUGGGCGUGCUGCGGGUUCCGGCCGUUAAACCACCUUCGUAACCCAAGGUUGACCUCGGAUCAGGUAGGAAGACCCGCUGAACUUAAGC
RNAcentral lists this unclassified non-coding RNA (304 nucleotides) under plant metagenome. Its description in RNAcentral is "partial contains 5.8S ribosomal RNA, internal transcribed spacer 2, and large subunit ribosomal RNA". The stretch from base 1 to 105 matches the Rfam family "5.8S ribosomal RNA", at positions 50 to 154 of the family's 154-position model. The record is from RNAcentral.